Molecule: ribosomal RNA, 473 nt
Filed under: uncultured Glomus
Lineage: Eukaryota; Fungi; Glomeromycota; Glomeromycetes; Glomerales; Glomeraceae
Description: SSU rRNA
Rfam family: Eukaryotic small subunit ribosomal RNA
Source: RNAcentral
AGCAGCCGCGGUAAUUCCAGCUCCAAUAGCGUAUAUUAAAGUUGUUGCAGUUAAAAAGCUCGUAGUUGAAUUUCGGGAUCAGUGGGUCGGUCGUGCCACUGGUAUGCACUGGCCCUACUGGUUCCUCCUUCUUGAAGAACUGUAAUGCCAUUAAUUUGGUGUUGCAGGGAAACAGGACUGUUACUUUGAAAAAUUAGAGUGUUUAAAGCAGGCAAUCGCUUGAAUACAUUAGCAUGGAAUAAUGAAAUAGGACGAUCGAUCCUAUUUUGUUGGUUUCUAGGAUUGACGUAAUGAUUAAUAGGGAUAGUUGGGGGCAUUAGUAUUCAAUUGUCAGAGGUGAAAUUCUUGGAUUUAUUGAAGACUAACUACUGCGAAAGCAUUUGCCAAGGAUGUUUUCAUUAAUCAAGAACGAAAGUUAGGGGAUCGAAGACGAUCAGAUACCGUCGUAGUCUUAACCAUAAACUAUGCCGACU